This is a long non-coding RNA of Corvus hawaiiensis (hawaiian crow), 826 nucleotides long. RefSeq lists it as uncharacterized. The transcript has 3 exons. The record is from RefSeq and is a predicted model, not a curated record. Lineage: Eukaryota; Metazoa; Chordata; Aves; Passeriformes; Corvidae.
AAAAGACCCAAAAGAGUUAUGAAGCCUUCAAUUUCACCUGAAAUAGACCCUUGAAAAGCAAAUGGUUGGAAUGAAAUGACCUAACAGUGAAAUAGUCCAGGCAUUGAAAGAAGCAAAUGGAGACUGAAAAGGAGGCAGAAGCAUGGUACAAAGGCCAGGUAUGACUUCUGAUUUGAAGAGGAGGUAAAUGCUGAAGGAAGAGUCCAAAAAGUCAGCAUGAAAUUAGGUGUUUGCAGGCAAGGCCAAAGACAGCAGAGGAAGGAGUGAGAAAGGAGCUAAUGAGAGCACCUUUUCCUUCCCAGAUCUGGAUUUUCAGCAAACUACAGAAGACUUUAAGGGGCUAGGAGUACAAGCCGAGAAACUCUAAGGACAAAGCUGAGAGAAAUCUCCAUCUAGUGCCAAGAAGCUUUUAGAAUUUUGACUCUUUGGCCCAGAUCUCCACCUGGUGUUAAUUCCACUGAAAUCAGAGGAAUUAUGCAAGGAUCUGGGACUUCAUGUGAGAAAGAUUUAUAAUUGCAGAUUUGAAAAUGAGCAUGAGUUCACAGAAACAGAGCAUGUCUAGACAAAUGGAUAACUAUAAGAAGCUAGUUAUUGUAUUGUACUGUAAUGUUUACUGUUGCUUGAUGUUGUCAGGGUAACUGCUUUAAUUAAGUACCUCUGAAUUCCCUCUAAUCUUUACCUUAUUCUCAACUGCGUGAAGAUAAACCUUUUAUUGUAGUAUAUGUGUCAAUCCUUGAAGGCAUACAAGAGAAGAAACUGCUACCUAAAGCAUUUGUGAGUGUAUCAGUAGUUUCUGUGCUUGUUAGAGCUAUGCUAGGUCUUUGCA